RNAcentral lists this ribosomal RNA (372 nucleotides) under uncultured bacterium. RNAcentral's name for it is "bacterial SSU rRNA". It matches the Rfam family "Bacterial small subunit ribosomal RNA", at positions 28 to 404 of the family's 1533-position model. The record is from RNAcentral.
GACGAACGCUGGCGGCGUGCUUAACACAUGCAAGUCGAACGGAAAGGCCCUUCGGGGUACUCGAGUGGCGAACGGGUGAGUAACACGUGGGUGAUCUGCCCUGCACUUCGGGAUAAGCCUGGGAAACUGGGUCUAAUACCGGAUAUGACCGCAUGAUGCAUGUUGUGUGGUGGAAAGCUUUUGCGGUGUGGGAUGGGCCCGCGGCCUAUCAGCUUGUUGGUGGGGUCAAGGCCACCAAGGCGACGACGGUAGCCGGCCUGAGAGGGUGACCGGCCACACUGGGACUGAGAUACGGCCCAGACUCCUACGGGAGGCAGCAGGUGGGGAAUAUUGCACAAUGGGCGGCAAGCCUGAUGCAGCGACGCCGCGUGA